Long non-coding RNA from Salvia miltiorrhiza (redroot sage), 9469 nucleotides. RefSeq lists it as uncharacterized. NCBI's taxonomy places the organism in Eukaryota, Viridiplantae, Streptophyta, Magnoliopsida, Lamiales, Lamiaceae. The transcript is spliced from 3 exons. The record is from RefSeq and is a predicted model, not a curated record.
UUCAUAAGAAAUAUAGAAGACCAUUAAAAUUAGAAUACUAUUGAUACACGCCCGACAUUUAAUAAAUUAUAUUAUUUCAAAGGGAUUUUUAUAAAUUGAAGUUCAUUACUAUUAUUUUAUUGAUCAAAGACCUUGAGCCCGUUAUUAAGGUAUAUGAAAAAUAUUUUCACAAGUAUAUACAUAUAUUUUAUUUAAUUAUUUAGCUAUUUAUUUAUUUUUAUUGGGCCUCAAGCCUAAUAAUAUUUAUUUGUGAGUUAUUAAAAUUUUCUUGGGCCUCCAGCCCAAAAAUUUGUGAGAUCAACCCUGGCCCAAAAUUUGGAGAUCAAUGUGAGGAAUCGAAACAUGCGUGUGUGAUUGUAAGAAACUGAAAUAUUUUCCUUUCUCUCCAAGUUUAACUGUGCAAGAUAUUUUUCACAAUUUGAUAUUCUAUUCCCAAAAACUUUGGCUUUGUUUCAACCACGUCAAUCGUUCCAGCUUCAUAAAUUACCCCAACUUUUCUUAUGCUCUUCCACCGCCAGAAUCACUUCCUCAAGCAGCAGUAUGAAGCAAUCAACAUAGUAACUCUUUCUAUUUCUCAAUCAAGAUUCCAGCUGGAUUAUCACAAAAGAUUAACACACGAAAUCCAAAUACCCAACUGUUUCUAUUAAAGAAAUACCUUGACCAAUGCACCAAAAAUCAAAACUUUACAAAUCUGAGAAUUUCUUUUUGCUGCCUUUGGAUUUGGGAAUGAGUGAGGAAGAGAGGGGACGGUUGUCGGAGGCCCGAUGCUGGGCGAUGCUGCAGCGGCCGGCGCCGCAUGGGUGGUGGCAGCCCGUCGCUGCUCACGGUGAAGGCAGGGGAGGCGGCGCGGUUCGAGGCAGGACGGUGCGAGGCGGCACCCGACGCCGCUGAACUCGGCCGAGGCAGACGAGCGACGGCGGUGGCGUUUCCUCCAUGGCCAUCUGCCUUCAGACACGGGCACGAGAAAGGGAGAGGCAGAUGGGAGAAUGGUGAGAGAGGGAGAACGACGAGCGAGGGAAGGGUGGUGGCCGGCGACGAUCUCAUCGGGAAGAGGGGUAGCGGCGUGACUGGAUGAGAGAGGGGGAAGGACGGUGAGUUAGAAAGGAGAGAGUGAAGGGAGGAAAGGAGAGAAAGAGAGGGGUGACGGAGCCGAAGGCGGCGCCCUUCGCCGGGGAAAAAGGAAGAGGCGGCGACGCUAAGCGCCGCGUAUGUGUUGAGCGUGUUCUGGAGAGAUCGAGAGUGAGUAGAAGAGAGAGAGGUCCGAUUGGUUAAAGGGAGAGAGAAAGGGGCUCAUUUGGGCUUUGGAAUUGGACUUGUUUAUUCUAUUCUUCUUGGGCUUCAUUAUUUUGAAGAUGGGCUGCAUUUCUUUUAAUUGGAUCUGCAAGUAUGUUCACUAGUCUUAUUAUUUCUCUAUAAGUUUAUGUUCUUAUAUUUUGAUACAAUCUUUAAUUAUUAUUUUGGGCCUAUAAAUGUUUUAAUAAAUUUUAUUAAUUUUCUUUCAAGGUUAAGGAUUUAUAUUUUUAAAUUAUUAAUUAUUUUAUAAGUUUUAAAUUUAUUAAGUUAUUAAUUAUGUAUUAAAAGUUUAUGAAUUCACUCAAGGAGUUUAUUAAAACGGGCAAAGUGUAUCAAUAGUUAGCGAUUCCAUUUACUUAGAAAUUAGAAUGAUACCUCGAGACCUAUUAAGAAUAUAAUUUCUUGUAGGCUUUGUGACCAAGUGGGUUAGCGCUGCUUUCCCAAGACAGGUUUAUAUGUGUAUGAUCUUCAGGCUUUGCCUAUCCAGGUGGGCUUUAUUUUACAAAUGUAUCUUGAGUUAUAUAAGCUCUGAUAUUUCAUGAAAGUUAAUUGUUUAUCCAAUAUAAAUAUUUUUAUGUGCGUUCUGUACUGUUUAAUGCUCGCAUAAGCAUCGAUCGAGAUUCUCAUUUGACCUAACACGUUAGAUGAGGAUUGUGUACACAAGGUUAGUUGCUCAAUGGGUUGAUCGCCAUUUGGGCACUAACGAAGCUAAGCAGACGUUAUAAGGGUGCUUGUCUGGAUGUGUUCCGAAGCACAGAUAUGAUUAUUGAUCUGACCGGGUGCGUCCCGAGAUUGAUAAAUGGGAGAAAAGAAAGCGAUCCGUCGGUGGCUAGAGGUCCGGGAUCAUAAGCAGCGAGUAACAAUCAAACGUCACAUGGCGCGCCACUUAAUGAGAAAAAUGUUUUGUCAUGCUUAGAAGUGGAUUUCUAUUUUUAAAACCUUCUGAGUUAUGAUUAUGAUAUUGGAUAAACUGCUCUAUUUAAGUAUUUCAUAAAAUAUUUAUAAACUGCAUAACCCACUGAGUACACUAGUGCUCAGCCCAAAAUAUUUUCAAAUAUUUUCAGGUUGAUCAGCUGGUGCAGAUGGGGUUGAGCCGAAGUUAGGGAUCCUCUUCGUAUUUCACUUCCGCUAACGACUAGCUUGCUAUCUUGUCUUUCAAUCCCCUAAACUCAGAACUUCUAUUAUAUGAUAAAAUAAUAUUUUGUUGAGCUUAGACACUUAAUUCAUAUUUCAAUUAGUGAAGCCAUAUUUGAUUAUGAUCAGAGUCACGAAACUAAACUUAUGCGCUCCUGGAAAGUUGAAUAUUGUUAAUCGAUUAUGUCGCUCAAUGCCCAUUCAUUUAUUUUAUUUUAUUUUAUCUUUAUUUUAUUAAUCUCUUCGAAACACAGAUACCUAAUCCUUUUGGGUAAAUCUUCAUAAUUGAUCUGCUUAUAUCACAUUAUUUUCUUAUUUCUUUUGUUUGGGAAGUUGGGUCGUUACAAGUGGUAUCAGAGCACAAGUUUUCUUUCGUGCCUCUGACUACCGCUAGUUAAAUUAUUUCGAGUCUAGAAUAGUACCUCUAGACUUCUUAGCAUUUAUGUAACCCUCAGCUCACCGUCUCACUGCCUGAUCAACAAAGGUACGUUUUAAAUUUUUUCAAGUAAAUUAUUUUAUUCCAAGAAAGGGCGCGCAAAAAGAUUACCUUGUGAAAUGCUUGAAGGAUUCACAAAUGCAAAGAGUUAAUGUUUAUGCCAAGAAAGAAGAGUAUCAUUUUUUUGGACCAAUGAGUCCUUACAAGAAGCAAAGUAUGUAGUCAUGAUGGGACUCUCCGAGCCCACGUGAUCUAUUUUCAGAAGAAGAAUAUUAUGAUGAGUCUCUUUGAGCUCACAUAAGCAUGUUGAAAGAGAAAAGAUUUGUUGUUUAUGAUUGAUUCUAUGAAUCAUUUAUGAUUAAAGAUAUGUUAUGAUUUUUUUUACUUCGUGCAUGUUAAAAAAUAUUUCAGAUGGCAUAAAUGACACUAUUUGUCAACUUAGGUUAUUUAUGACCUUUUUGACUUGACAGUUAUGAGUAGGUUGACUCAGUCAACUAAAGCUAUGAGCUUAUAAGAGUAUGAUUUACCCCAUAGUUAGAGGUGCAUUAGCUAAUGCUAUGACAGGAUUUCGAUCCAUAUGAACUAGACUUUUGUCUAGAGAACUUUAGAAUGAUGAGGUAUAGAAUCUUGAAGAACAUAAAAUGCUUUCAGAAUACCUAUGAUGCCCAUAGAACAGAGAAACUUAGUUAGAUUUAGCCUUGCGCUAUUUCGGGUUGAAUGAUAUUGGUUCUUCUUUAUAGAUGGACAAAACAGGCGAGAAAUUUCGCAAGCAUUGGACCCCAACGUACUUGCAAGAACAGUAUGAAGAGAAGCUCCAUAGCUAAAUCGGGAAGCUAUAGAAUUUUCUGAGGGAUUUCGUAGUAGAAUCACGACACACAGGAUGAAUGCAUGCAAGGGAAGAGUAUUAGACAUCAAAUCAUCAAUAAGACUCGUGCAACACCUUUCUCUAAUGAAUGAAAAACAGGGACAACCAACAUAUGCGCAAGAUUAGUGAUUUACGAUUUUCCGCAGCUGACUAAGAGCACCAAGCCAAGGCCAUUGACAUCAGGAGAGGGUCCUAAGAACAAUAUUGAGGAAGCUAUCACAAGAGAUUCAUGAGAGAGCAAUUGCCUGCAUACAUUAUUAGUUUAGUAGUGGCGACAAUUGUUUAGAAUAACCUUACUUUUGAUAAGAACACCUCACUUUUUGACUGCAAGGUUGAACUCGUCCACAACCUACCUAUACCUUGCCUAGACACCCCAAUUCAUUUAAUAAAUUCUCGUACUACCUAAACACUUGGAGUACUCUAUUAUAUUCAUUAUACUGAAAGUCUUUUUUUUGAGGCAUAUGAUACAUAAGUGUUUUGAUCAUGCUUUAACGCGUGUUAUUCAAACUUUUCUUCCCGUAACACGCUUAUUUAUUAUGGUUAGUUUACAUCUGAAGUUGUUCAAUCUUAUUAACUAAAAGAACCUUUUUGAGGGGCACUAUUAUUUUGAAUAUUAUGAAAGUCCUCUCUUGAGGCAUAUAUAUCAAUAAUUUAUUCAUACUUUAUGCGUGUUGUUCAAAUUUUCUUUCACGUAGCACGCAUAGUCUCAUGAUUGAUUCACAUAUGAUUGUUAAGCCCUAUUAACCAAUUGAACCUUUAAACCACAUCAUGGAUACGACAAUAAGAAGACGUGGACGACGACGAGUAAUUGUCCCUGAUGAGCCUGCACCACAAGUAGCACCAGACGGUUUAGGUGAUCCUAUAGAUGCCGAGAAGUAAAUCAAAGCAAUAGGAGAAUUUCACCGAGAAUGACUUUAAGGCAGAGUUAUAUGAGAAAUACAUACUAGAAUAUUACCGACAGAGAAACAGAUGAGUUCUGGAACCUGGGGCAGAGGGCUGGAAUGACGACUGAGUAUGGCAGGACUUUCAACCAACUGCUACGAUAUGCUCAACUCCUAUUGGAUACUGACGAGAAAUGCGCGGAAAAGUUUAGGAACAGAUUUCGUCAUGAGAUAUCGAUUUCCUUAACAAGUCAGGGAGGUCUCACUUAUGCACAAACACUGAGCGGAGCUCUCACAAUUGAGUCAUUGCUACCAAGCAAAUGAAGAAAGAUAUAGCACUAUUCGUAGAACGGUGCCUUGCAUGCCAACAAGUCAAAGCACUAGACCGGAAACCAUAUGGGACAUUGCAACCACUACCAAUUCCCGAAUGGAAGUGGGAACAUAUCGACAUGGAUUUUGUGAUAAGCUUACCACAAUUAGCGCGUGGAAACAAUGCCAUUUGGGUAAUUGUAGAUCGCCUGUUGAAGACAACGCAUUUCCUUCCCAUGCAAAUGACCUUUGGGAUGGAAAAGCUUGCAAAGUUAUAUGUCAAAGAAAUUGUGCGCCUUUACGGUGUACCAGUAUCAAUCACAUCUGAUCGUGACUCCAGAUUCACAUUAAGAUUCUGGAAAAGUUUGCAGGAGGUAAUGGGCACCAAACUAAAAUUCAGCACAACAUACCACCCCCAAACAGACGGCCAAUCUGAGCGAACAAUUCAGAUAUUAGAAGACAUACUUCGAGCAAUUGUUGCAGACAAAUGUGGAGAUUGGGAGGACCUACUACCUCUCGUAGAAUUUGCCUACAACAACAGCUACCAGACAACAAUUAGAAUGGCCCCUUACGAGGCACUAUAUGGGCGAAAAUACAGAUCGUCACUUUACUGGGAUGAAGUAGGCGAACGAAGCUGUUAGGACCAAAACUAGUUUAGCAGAUGAUCGAAAAAGUUGACCAGAUUAAGCAGAAGAUCAAAGAAGCACAAGAUAGAUAACAAUCAUAUACUGAUACACGAAGAACUGAACUAGAAUUCAAUGUUGGGGAUUGACUAUUUCUCAAAAUUUUCCCUACAAAAUGAGUUAUUCGUUUUGAAAGUAGUGGUGAAUUGUGACCCUGCUAUAUAUGACCUUUUGAGAUUCUAGAUAGAAUGAGAAUGCAGCCUAUAGGUUGGCAAUACCACCUAGCAUUGGGAAUGUGCACAAUGUGUUUCACGUUUUGCAAUUACAAAAGUACGUGUUUGGUCCAAAGCACGUAAUAAAGAAUGAUGAAGUAGUUCUAGUCUAAGACUUGAGCUAUGAGGAAAAGCCCGUACAAAUACUUGACCGAAAGGUUCAAGUUCUAAGAAACAAGCAAAUCCCUCUGGUUAAAGUGCUUUGGCACCACCAUUGGAUAGAAGAAGCAACAUGAGAAUUAGAAGAGAAAAUGAAAGCUCAAUACCCCGAACUGAAUUACCAAGGUAUGUAAAUUUCGGGGACGAAAUUUUUUUUAAGGAGGGAGGUAUGUGACAUCCCGUCCUUUUCAUAAGAAAUAUAGAAGACCAUUAAAAUUAGAAUACUAUUGAUACACGCCCGACAUUUAAUAAAUUAUAUUAUUUCAAAGGGAUUUUUAUAAAUUGAAGUUCAUUACUAUUAUUUUAUUGAUCAAAGACCUUGAGCCCGUUAUUAAGGUAUAUGAAAAAUAUUUUCACAAGUAUAUACAUAUAUUUUAUUUAAUUAUUUAGCUAUUUAUUUAUUUUUAUUGGGCCUCAAGCCUAAUAAUAUUUAUUUGUGAGUUAUUAAAAUUUUCUUGGGCCUCCAGCCCAAAAAUUUGUGAGAUCAACCCUGGCCCAAAAUUUGGAGAUCAAUGUGAGGAAUCGAAACAUGCGUGUGUGAUUGUAAGAAACUGAAAUAUUUUCCUUUCUCUCCAAGUUUAACUGUGCAAGAUAUUUUUCACAAUUUGAUAUUCUAUUCCCAAAAACUUUGGCUUUGUUUCAACCACGUCAAUCGUUCCAGCUUCAUAAAUUACCCCAACUUUUCUUAUGCUCUUCCACCGCCAGAAUCACUUCCUCAAGCAGCAGUAUGAAGCAAUCAACAUAGUAACUCUUUCUAUUUCUCAAUCAAGAUUCCAGCUGGAUUAUCACAAAAGAUUAACACACGAAAUCCAAAUACCCAACUGUUUCUAUUAAAGAAAUACCUUGACCAAUGCACCAAAAAUCAAAACUUUACAAAUCUGAGAAUUUCUUUUUGCUGCCUUUGGAUUUGGGAAUGAGUGAGGAAGAGAGGGGACGGUUGUCGGAGGCCCGAUGCUGGGCGAUGCUGCAGCGGCCGGCGCCGCAUGGGUGGUGGCAGCCCGUCGCUGCUCACGGUGAAGGCAGGGGAGGCGGCGCGGUUCGAGGCAGGACGGUGCGAGGCGGCACCCGACGCCGCUGAACUCGGCCGAGGCAGACGAGCGACGGCGGUGGCGUUUCCUCCAUGGCCAUCUGCCUUCAGACACGGGCACGAGAAAGGGAGAGGCAGAUGGGAGAAUGGUGAGAGAGGGAGAACGACGAGCGAGGGAAGGGUGGUGGCCGGCGACGAUCUCAUCGGGAAGAGGGGUAGCGGCGUGACUGGAUGAGAGAGGGGGAAGGACGGUGAGUUAGAAAGGAGAGAGUGAAGGGAGGAAAGGAGAGAAAGAGAGGGGUGACGGAGCCGAAGGCGGCGCCCUUCGCCGGGGAAAAAGGAAGAGGCGGCGACGCUAAGCGCCGCGUAUGUGUUGAGCGUGUUCUGGAGAGAUCGAGAGUGAGUAGAAGAGAGAGAGGUCCGAUUGGUUAAAGGGAGAGAGAAAGGGGCUCAUUUGGGCUUUGGAAUUGGACUUGUUUAUUCUAUUCUUCUUGGGCUUCAUUAUUUUGAAGAUGGGCUGCAUUUCUUUUAAUUGGAUCUGCAAGCUUUGUGACCAAGUGGGUUAGCGCUGCUUUCCCAAGACAGGUUUAUAUGUGUAUGAUCUUCAGGCUUUGCCUAUCCAGGUUGAUCAGCUGGUGCAGAUGGGGUUGAGCCGAAGUUAGGGAUCCGCUUCGUAUUUCACUUCCGCUAACGACUAGCUUGCUAUCUUGUCUUUCAAUCCCCUAAACUCAGAACUUCUAUUAUAUGAUAAAAUAAUAUUUUGUUGAGCUUAGACACUUAAUUCAUAUUUCAAUUAGUGAAGCCAUAUUUGAUUAUGAUCAGAGUCACGAAACUAAACUUAUGCGCUCCUGGAAAGUUGAAUAUUGUUAAUCGAUUAUGUCGCUCAAUGCCCAUUCAUUUAUUUUAUUUUAUUUUAUCUUUAUUUUAUUAAUCUCUUCGAAACACAGAUACCUAAUCCUUUUGGGUAAAUCUUCAUAAUUGAUCUGCUUAUAUCACAUUAUUUUCUUAUUUCUUUUGUUUGGGAAGUUGGGUCGUUACAAGAGUGGUAUCAGAGCGGUUCGUUCGCUCUGACCCUAGAAACCUUAUUCUAAAGAGUCGAGUCUAGUUUGAUUCUUUAGACUUACACGGGUUCAUAUGGCACCGCUCAACACUCCAUUGCAUCGUGCUCAAUCAAGGAAAGAAGGUAACUGCAGUUUCAACGUUUUAAAGAUGUUAAUGUUCUAAAAUGCUUCAUGAAUAUGUUUAUGUGAAGAGCAGGUUAUGAUGAAAUGUUGAAUGUUUUGCCUUUCAUGGCAUAUUUUCGCAAUCUAUGAUGUUAUGAUCAGACGAAUGAUAGAAAAAUUGACAUAUGUUUUCCCGGAGAACAUAGAUUGCUAUAAGUUGCAUGAUCACAAUUUUAAAAGAACAUAGACUACUAGAUUAGUAGGAUAUCUCUACAAUCUAGAUUCUUAAGGUGAUGAUGUAGAAGAAUGAAAGAGAACUUAGAGCAUUUCAGCUCCCUCAAGAAAACAAUGAUUCUUUUGAACUACAAAGAGGAAUGGAAAGAUAUGUACGAGGUAAAGGAAAAACACAGAAUGACGAUACGCGACGAAUUCAAGGUAAACGUUGCAUCAAAGGUUGAACCAUAGUCUCUACGUUCAAAUGUUCAAGUACGACGAAAUAUCAAAUCGACUUUUGCUACAGGAUAGAUUUUAUGAAUAGAGUAUUUUGCCUGUGUACGUAUGUCUGUGUGUAUAUGUCUUAAGAGAGGUUUGGGGUUUGAGAUCAAUAGGAUAGGGAACCUUAAGAUAAGUUUAAUUGUCAUAAUGAACUUAUGUUUUGUUAUGUAUAGUAUGUUCAUGGCCCUUCAAGUUCGGGACGAUGUUUCUCGUGUGACUGGGAGGUGAUGAUGUUGGACCUGGCCAGUCCACAUGAUCCAAAUCUCAGUAGACGUCUUUUGGGUUGAAAACCCAUGUGUUUCAACUUUCGGUUGAAAAGCCAGAUGGGUUCAUACUCGAGGUCAUUUUGUUCGACUUAGUAGUUAAUCAUUUCAUACCCUCUGGUCAUUCUUUUGAUUCUCUUGAACAAUUUCUACAACACCUUGUUUUGAUGUUGUGUUGAGUUUGAGCCUUGCAACUCGUGAGUUGUCAUAAUAGAUCCCCUUGUUUGAUAAGACCAAGAAAUGUUAGUCUACCGAUGUAGUAUACUACCCAAACUAUGACUUCAUAUAAUUGUGUCUCAUUGUGAUUGGUUGAGAUUAGUUUUUGUCCUAUAAAUGAUAUCGACCACUCAUUAUGAUAGAAAUUCAGAGUCCAAGCUAAGACCGUAAUAUAGUGUUCGAGUACGAGGACUUAAGUUAAUUGGUCUAUGAUAGUUUUAAGAUAAAUUCAUAGGAAAGUGUUAUUCAUGUGAUAGGUAACAAGAAAUGGGUUGAUGACUAUUUUAGUCUUUGGAAAAAAGAAUACCCCGUAGAUGAGCCCUAGGAAUGAGG